Molecule: ribosomal RNA, 253 nt
Filed under: uncultured bacterium
Lineage: Bacteria
Description: partial 16S ribosomal RNA
Rfam family: Bacterial small subunit ribosomal RNA
Source: RNAcentral
UACAGAGGGUGCAAGCGUUAAUCGGAAUUACUGGGCGUAAAGCGUGCGUAGACGGUUAUGUAAGUCAGGUGUGAAAGCCCCGGGCUUAACCUGGGAACUGCAUUUGUGACUGCAUUGCUGGAGUGCGGCAGAGGGGGAUGGAAUUCCGCGUGUAGCAGUGAAAUGCGUAGAUAUGCGGAGGAACACCGAUGGCGAAGGCAAUCCCCUGGGCCUGCACUGACGCUCAUGCACGAAAGCGUGGGGAGCAAACAGG